GGAUCAAGAGAUAUAGCCAAAAUAAAAUUGGAACAAAAUCUGUCCAAAACUCUACCAUGGCAGCGUUUCUGAAAUUGCUGUCGUGGGAACGAAUUUGGAGCUGUUGUUGUGUCAUGGCUGCUACUACCAAGGGUUGCCACAUGGCGUGACGCUGAUGGUUGGAGUUGUUCACGAUGAGGCUUAAUUGGUGGACGACCGACAUAUAAGAGAAAAACGGUUCGAUCGUUCUAAUAAAAAUAGGGGAUCUAAUAUUGAUCGUUGAUGUGCGAUCGCAUGGUUGUGGGCGGCUCACCAGAGAAGAACAUGGAGAAGUGACUGUAGGACUCAAUGAAGACCGGCGCGAGCAGAUCGGGGCUGGCGAUGCCGACGGCUACGGUGGGUGUCCGACGAAUCAGGAGAUACUGGAUGAGGGACGGUGUGCAUACAGAGAUGGCGAACUCGGGAACGUCUUCAGGUACAACUAGGGUAUCUUCUGCGACAAGAUGAUGCGGCUAGAGCGGCGGCGGCAAAGUUGGACUUCAGGUCAAGGUCAACAUGCUUGAUAUGGUGCUCCUGUGCGUGAAAUAAUAGGUGAGGAAAGCAUAGGAUACCAA
RNAcentral lists this long non-coding RNA (593 nucleotides) under Hordeum vulgare. Its description in RNAcentral is "long non-coding RNA (HVUL_LNC001162)". Lineage: Eukaryota; Viridiplantae; Streptophyta; Magnoliopsida; Poales; Poaceae. The record is from RNAcentral.